UGAGGAAUAUUGCGCAAUGGAGGCAACUCUGACGCAGCAACGCCGCGUGGGUGAAGAAGGCUUUCGGGUUGUAAAGCCCUGUCAGGUGGGAAGAAACCUCUUUGAGUAAAUAGCUCAGAGAACUGACGGUACCACCAAAGGAAGCACCGGCUAACUCCGUGCCAGCAGCCGCGGUAAGACGGAGGGUGCAAGCGUUGUUCGGAAUCACUGGGCGUAAAGCGCGUGUAGGCGGUCCGAUUAGUCGAGUGUGAAAGCCCGAGGCUCAACCUCGGAAGCGCAUUCGAAACUGUCGGGCUUGAGUACGGGAGAGGGAAGUGGAAUUCCUGGUGUAGAGGUGAAAUUCGUAGAUAUCAGGAGGAACACCGGUGGCGAAGGCGGCUUCCUGGACCGAUACUGACGCUGAGACGCGAAAGCGUGGGGAGCAAACA
RNAcentral lists this ribosomal RNA (428 nucleotides) under uncultured prokaryote. Its description in RNAcentral is "bacterial SSU rRNA". It matches the Rfam family "Bacterial small subunit ribosomal RNA", at positions 355 to 774 of the family's 1533-position model. The record is from RNAcentral.